GAACCAGCGAGACGGGCCCGGAUUCAGGCCCUGUGUGCGCGGCGCCGAGUCAACUCGCAGGGCAGCGGUAGAGAGGGGGAGUUGCAGGCAGCAGCAGCAGGCAGGCAGGCAGGAGGAGGAGGAGGAGGGAGGAGGGCGGGAGCGCACGGCGCCUCCUUCGCCGCUGUCGUGACUGCAGUUAAACCGGCAACGCGGGCCUUGCCUGGUCUGAGCCGAGCCGGAUCAAGAGACAGGAGUGACCACUAGAGGGCGCGGCAAAGGUGGGGGAAAUGAGCGGGCGAGCGGGAGAGACUCCCCGGAACUUGUCAUAACCACACCCUUCUUUCUUACGAAAGGCCAGCUGCUUCUAUGGCGGCGGCAGGGGUUUCAGUGCCGAUGCAUUUGGCGCGUCAAUACCCCAUAUCGUGUUUGCUUUAAAAAAACAAAAAAAAACCCUUUCCCACCACUCCUACUAAGAAGCCUCGUUGAUAGCACCCAAUGGGAAAAUGUAUCCUUUCAUCUAAGUCUUCGGAACUUUCGAGCAGGAUUCUGGAGUGCAAUGAACCUUCCCAUCUGUUCACUUCCAAUAUGUUUUCAAAAACUGAACUAGUUUUUGGCCAUUUUCCAGCCAGGCUUGGGUGACACGUGAGGAUGUCCAAGCACAAAGCUUGCAAAUUUGAAGGAAACAAAACAAAGAGCAGGUGGGACAAAGAAGGAGAGGCGCUGGGCAAGAAGCAACAGAAAUAUCAUGAGAAAGGUGAAAAUGGAAAAUGUCUGUCGACCCACACGAUUCCUGCUUGGCCACCACCCCCCAUGAUGGAAAUUCGGGCCUCCUGCAGACCCUCCGCAGUUCUUCCAAGGCUUGAAGUCUUUCUUUUACCCUGCUCCUGAAAUUCUUCUUCCGUGAGAUGGCAGAUUUGGAUCUUUUCAGUUCUGAAAAAACUAAUGGCUUUCCUAGGUAGGAAGGAAAAAAGGAAGGAAAACUGAAGAAUAAAGGGAAAGGGAAGAAUACUGGCA
This 996-nucleotide long non-coding RNA is filed under the name Pogona vitticeps (central bearded dragon). RNAcentral's name for it is "lncRNA (ENSPVIG00000017695.1)". Lineage: Eukaryota; Metazoa; Chordata; Lepidosauria; Squamata; Agamidae. The record is from RNAcentral.